Molecule: long non-coding RNA, 253 nt
Organism: Homalodisca vitripennis (glassy-winged sharpshooter)
Lineage: Eukaryota; Metazoa; Arthropoda; Insecta; Hemiptera; Cicadellidae
Exons: 2
Source: RefSeq, a predicted model, not a curated record
CUUUGCCUGACAUUAAAAAAUUGUGGUUAACACAUUUAAAAAACAGUGAUCUAGUGUAAUUUUUUUCCAUAAAGCUACAAGUUGAGUUAAAGGAAAAAAGUGGAAUUUUUUAGAACAACACAUAACAGUUCAUGUGAUUUAUCAUACAAAUUUAUUAAACUGUACAUCAGUAAACAACCUAUUUUGGAGGUAGGAUAUCAUGAAAGAGUGUUGUACUGGUGGGAAUUUUCCAAAAGUGGAUUGGCAACACUGG